RNAcentral lists this ribosomal RNA (461 nucleotides) under uncultured bacterium. RNAcentral describes it as "partial 16S ribosomal RNA". It matches the Rfam family "Bacterial small subunit ribosomal RNA", at positions 338 to 795 of the family's 1533-position model. The record is from RNAcentral.
CCUACGGGUGGCAGCAGUGAGGAAUAUUGGUCAAUGGGCGGGAGCCUGAACCAGCCAAGUCGCGUGAGGGAAGACGGUCCUACGGAUUGUAAACCUCUUUUGCCGGGGAGCAACGGGGUCCUUGCGAGGGCCCGAUGAGAGUACCCGGAGAAAAAGCAUCGGCUAACUCCGUGCCAGCAGCCGCGGUAAUACGUAGGUGGCAAGCGUUAUCCGGAUUUACUGGGUGUAAAGGGCGUGUAGGCGGGAAAGCAAGUCAGAUGUGAAAACCAUGGGCUCAACCUGUGGCCUGCAUUUGAAACUGUUUUUCUUGAGUACUGGAGAGGCAGACGGAAUUCCUAGUGUAGCGGUGAAAUGCGUAGAUAUUAGGAGGAACACCAGUGGCGAAGGCGGUCUGCUGGACAGCAACUGACGCUGAGGCGCGAAAGCGUGGGGAGCAAACAGGAUUAGAUACCCCAGUAGUC